UGGGGAAUAUUGCACAAUGGAGGGAACUCUGAUGCAGCGACGCCGCUUGAACGAAGAAGGCUUUCGAGUCGUAAAGUUCUUUUAUAUGGGAAGAUAAUGACGGUACCAUAAGAAAAAGCCCCGGCUAACUACGUGCCAGCAGCCGCGGUAAUACGUAGGGGGCUAGCGUUGUCCGGAAUCACUGGGCGUAAAGGGUUCGCAGGCGGAAAUGCAAGUCAGGUGUAAAAGGCAGUAGCUUAACUACUGUAAGCAUUUGAAACUGCAUAUCUUGAGAAGAGUAGAGGUAAGUGGAAUUUUUAGUGUAGCGGUGAAAUGCGUAGAUAUUAAAAAGAAUACCGGUGGCGAAGGCGACUUACUGGGCUCAUUCUGACGCUGAGGAACGAAAGCGUGGGUAGCAAACAGG
RNAcentral lists this ribosomal RNA (403 nucleotides) under Fusobacteriota bacterium. RNAcentral's name for it is "Fusobacteria bacterium partial 16S ribosomal RNA". It matches the Rfam family "Bacterial small subunit ribosomal RNA", at positions 355 to 776 of the family's 1533-position model. Lineage: Bacteria; Fusobacteriati; Fusobacteriota. The record is from RNAcentral.